AUAGCGUAUAUUAAAGUUGUUGCAGUUAAAAAGCUCGUAGUUGAACUUCAGACCUGGCUGGGCGGUCAGCUUAACAGCGUGUACUGUCUGGCUGGGCCUUACCUCUUGGUGAGCCGGUGUGCCCUUUAUUGGGUGCGCUGGGGAACCAGGACUUUUACCUUGAGAAAAUUAGAGUGUUCAAAGCAGGCCUAUGCCCGAAUACAUUAGCAUGGAAUAAUAAAAUAGGACGUGCGGUUCUAUUUUGUUGGUUUCUAGAGCCGCAGUAAUGAUUAAUAGGGAUAGUUGGGGGCAUUAGUAUUCCGUUGCUAGAGGUGAAAUUCUUGGAUUUACGGAAGACUAACUUCUG
This 346-nucleotide ribosomal RNA is filed under the name uncultured eukaryote. Its description in RNAcentral is "SSU rRNA". It matches the Rfam family "Eukaryotic small subunit ribosomal RNA", at positions 594 to 945 of the family's 1831-position model. The record is from RNAcentral.